Molecule: RNA transcript, 2119 nt
Organism: Microplitis mediator
Lineage: Eukaryota; Metazoa; Arthropoda; Insecta; Hymenoptera; Braconidae
Exons: 13
Source: RefSeq, a predicted model, not a curated record
AGAGAUUGAGGAAAAUAAACACAACGUAGCGACAGACACCACUGUUCUUCCCGCUCUUUCGACGUUACCGCGUUACCGGUCAGCCGUACCAUAUUAAACAGUUCAUUCCAGUUUUGACUGUCGUGCAGAGUGCUUGUCCAUCACUAUAAUUUAUUCGUUAACGACAAGUGGUUUAUUUUUGUACAUAAUAGUAAUUAAAUAAUUACUAUUAAAAGUUUUCAUGUUUGCCCACAUUAAGUUUUUAAAAAGUGGAAAGUAUAAAACAGUUGAUGUAAGUAAAAUUAUCAAUUAUAAACCUGAUUGUCCAACAAAAAUUUUCAAAAUUGAAGAAGACGGGAUAAUUCAUAAAACGGUUGUUGUUGCUGUGCAUGAUUCGAUCCAGGAAUUAUCGGAAAUUGUGGAAUCAUCACGUCAAAAGGCUCAGCCUUUGGCAUUAUUAUCCGAGCCGUCAGAAGAAAAUUUAAAAGUUAAAAAAAAGACUGAUAAAUUGGAUAAUACUUUGAACAUCCUCAACAGCCGAUUACUUCGCAAAGAUCCGGAACGCUUCAAUAUGGAAAAUGUAACCUCAAUAAAAGAAGAUAUACAACCGAAUGAUUUUUCGGAAAAUAAGGUCAUUAACUCAACUGGAGAGGGUCAUAAUCCUAAAAAGCGUAAAAUCAAAGCCAAGAAAGAUUCGUUGAAGGAAAAAGAAUGCCAGAAAAAAAGCAAAAAUGGUGAAACUAUCAAAAAAAUAAAGACGGAGCAAAGUAUAAAAAACAAAAAAUCUCUGAUGAUUGCUAAAGAUGAGAAAAUGAUAAAACCGGUAAUUCUUGUCAUACCGAACGAAAAUGAAGUAAUCAAUACUCCACAGAAAGAUGGGACUUCUCCGCAAGAAAGUAAUUUGUCUCCAACGCUAGAUAUGUUUCCAGAUUUACGUGACACGGUAUUAAUACCACAUAGUAUUGAUGAUGGAGAAAUUAUUGCUGUAGAUCAAGCUCCUGCAAUCCCAUCAACAUCACGUAAUGGUCUUUCUCAAACCAGAUUUUCAACUCAGACAGUCAAACGAAAGCUUGAAACUGGACCUGCACGGACUAAAAAUCAUAAAACAACAUGAAAGGGUACUAAAAAAGUUAAAAAAAGUACCAUCGAAAAAUUACAGCAGGAACUUCGGACUCUAAAAGACGAAUUUCAAAGAAGUGAAAAAAAACGAGAAAUCUUUGUAAACGAAACUCAGGAGAGCUUAAAAAAUAUUACCUCGUUAAAAGAAAUAAAUAAAAAGAUUCUUGUUACGAUUUCUGACAACUGGAAUGAAUUUCGUGAUUCAUAUUGGUCAAGGAAUAUGUAUUCCUACAAUAUAUAUCAAUAUAUUCCUACAAUAUAUUCCUACACCAUACUAUAAUUCUGCGGCUUAUAAAGCGAAAACUGGAAGACAGUUCGUGAAGAAGCUAGUUAUAAUGCUAUUUACUGAAGAGGAGUUGAACACUCAUAGUGUACGAGGUGGGAAAUCUAACAAAGUAAAAGUGGAAGUACAAAAACCAGCUUUGGAUCCAACUCGUCUCUUAGCGCUUAAAAAUAUUUUUGAAUUUUACCUCACGUCGGUCCGGAUGGAGCCAGCUAAAAUUCAGAUAGAAUUGAAACAAAUGGACGAUCACGUAAGAAGCAAAAUUGCUGAUUUGCGGAAGACAUCUACAAAACAAAAUUCAAAGGAAAAGAAAACAAAAAAAAAAUAAGCAACAAUGAGGGAUGCAACAAAGAAAAUAAAGAUGAAAAUGAAGAGGAAUAUGAGGAAGAAAAUGAAGAACAGGAUGAAGAAGAGGAUGAAGAAGAGAAGGAAAAAGAGGAUGGAGAAGAGUAUGAUGAAGAGGAAAAAAGUAGUGACGGAGAAAAAAAAUAAUUUAUAAACAUAGAUUAAUAUUAACCAAUUAGUUAGACGAGGGCAUGAGAUGAGGCUAGCGGAAAUUCAAUUUUACCCAGAAGCUGAAGCAGCUAAUAUGAACAACAUCAACUAACUGGACAAGUUUACCUGAAAAAUGGAGACAUGCUACGGACAGUCGAUCAUUCUUGAUGGAUAAAUACAAUUUUUUUAAUUUUCAUAAUUAAUUAAAUUGUAAAAAAUAACCUAUUAAAUGAAAUUCACAGU